GUUUGCCUAGGAACACUCUCCUAUAGUCAUUUCAAACUCUUUGUACAGCCAGUUCAGGUCUGUUGCUGGUUGCCAGUGUAGUAAUGAAGAAAACCACUGCCUUCCAUCCCAAGUGAGGUCUGAUUUUCAGAGCAGGAUUUGCAAGAAAUUACAAAGAUGGAGCACUCAGAAGCAUAUAUUGCACGUAUGUAAGUCAGGUUCUAUAGUUUUCUCCGUGCUGUGAAGUUAAAAAUGGA
Lagopus leucura (white-tailed ptarmigan) is the source of this 236-nucleotide long non-coding RNA. RefSeq lists it as uncharacterized. The transcript has 3 exons. NCBI's taxonomy places the organism in Eukaryota, Metazoa, Chordata, Aves, Galliformes, Phasianidae. The record is from RefSeq and is a predicted model, not a curated record.